RNAcentral lists this ribosomal RNA (449 nucleotides) under uncultured bacterium. RNAcentral's name for it is "bacterial SSU rRNA". It matches the Rfam family "Bacterial small subunit ribosomal RNA", at positions 328 to 794 of the family's 1533-position model. The record is from RNAcentral.
GUUCCAGACUCCUACGGGAGGCAGCAGUGGGGAAUAUUGCACAAUGGGGGAAACCCUGAUGCAGCGACGCCGCGUGAGUGAAGAAGUCUCUCGGUCUGUAAAGCUCUAUCAGCAGGGAAGAAAAUGACGGUACCUGACUAAGAAGCCCCGGCUAACUACGUGCCAGCAGCCGCGGUAAUACGUAGGGGGCAAGCGUUAUCCGGAUUUACUGGGUGUAAAGGGAGCGUAGACGGCGCUGCAAGUCCGGAGUGAAAGCCCGUGGCUUAACCAUGGUACUGCUCUGGAAACUGUGGAGCUUGAGUGCGGGAGGGGCAGGCGGAAUUCCUAGUGUAGCGGUGAAAUGCGUAGAUAUUAGGAGGAACACCGGCGGCGAAGGCGGCCUGCUGGACCGUAACUGACGUUGAGGCUCGAAAGCGUGGGGAGCAAACAGGAUUAGAUACCCCUGUAGA